Molecule: unclassified non-coding RNA, 2282 nt
Filed under: Dermacentor andersoni
Lineage: Eukaryota; Metazoa; Arthropoda; Arachnida; Ixodida; Ixodidae
Description: apoptosis regulator Bcl-2-like
Source: RNAcentral
CGUGCCUCGUACACGCAGAGGGAGCAGUCGGCAAAGCUACUUUCAAGCCGGCGUCGAGGGAGCCGGCAGUCAACGAAUCGUGUAGCCGGUGAGCGGCGAGUGAGCGGUUGAAGGCUCGGUGCAGUUUUGUCUCGUUCCUGUGUCUGUAGCCGCCGGCGUCGCCACCAUGGCCGUCAACGAGGCUGAGAAGUCUCAGGUGAACGAAAUGGUGAACGACUUCAUGCGUUACCAGCUAAACCGGCGCGGCCUUCAGUGGAAUACGUGCCCGCCAUUGCCGCGACCUUCCAAAGUGGCUCUCGUACUGCGGACGCUGGGGGAUGAAUUCAUCACCAAAUACCGCGAGGAGUUCACUCAGAUGUGUGGCCGACUCGACAUGACUCCCUCUGUGGCCCAGACAGCGUACAUGGACGUCCUGAACGAGCUCUUCAGCGAAGGGAUUACGUGGGCACGCAUCGUGGGUGCCUUCGCAUUCAGUGUGGAGCUGUCGGCGCUCUGCGUCGAGAAGAACUGGUCGGAGCUGGUGGACAGCAUCGCAUCCUGGUUGUCUUCGUACGUCUGUACGAGGCUUCUUCCCUGGAUAAGGGACCACCAAGGAUGGGACGGCCUGGUCGUGUUCAGCGAGGAGCGCGACGACACCGGCGCUGCCGAGUCUCCCUGGCCAAUCUUCAAGAACGUGGUGUGCGGGGUGGCCGUCACGGCGCUCGGUGCCCUCACGCUCGGCGCCUUCCUCACGUCCAAGUCGUAGGUCGCCGCGCAGGCGCCGGACGAUAACCAGCCGCCCGGCCCGCCGCGCCCCCGGAUUCUUCGCGCCGCGGCUGGCCUGGACACGCAAGCUCCACCCAGUACACUCGCUUCACGUGUACCUGCACGAGAAAGGCGACCAGCCGGCCGCCCUUUCUCUACCACUGCGUCCCUGACCGACGCUGUCAUUGCCGAGGAACUCGCGUUCUUCCAGCACAGGCCGAGGACACUCUCGGACUUGUGCCUCAACGCCAGGGUGCCUCUCGCGACUGUGGCGGUGGACAAAGAGUACAGCGGCAGCAGUGCGCGGUCAAGUGGGCGAGUCUUCUGUGGUUCGGACUCUUUCGCGUUUCUCGUCGCUGUCGUGGCGGCGCCUCCUCGUUUGUGGUGCGGCGCGCGGCAUUUGUCAAGACGGGCCGGCCGGUCGGUGGCCGGCUGCAUGUUGGUGUGGUGCUCGCGGAAAGCGGUGGUACGGACGUACGGACAAUGCUUAACCCGAUCGGUGGACGAGCGACCCCUCCUUCUACGAGAGUUCAAACGACGGCGUUUGCUUCGUCGUCUCUUAUACAGCCCGCUCGCCAGCAGGACUUCCAGAACGAAAUGUGUGAUGGCGCAGCGGUGAGGGGGAAGUGUCCUCCGCCGCGGUGAAUUCGCCCGUGUGUAAAGCGAGCGCCUACUACAGUGCCGAUGUGUGUCGUUCACCCGAAAGAAGAAAAAAAAAUUGUCGGUACUUUUUGCUACUUUUACUUGCGGACUUUCCGUAUACCGAACGCAAUCACCUGCCGAGAUGAGCGUCGCUUUACUGUGUACGCGUCGCGCUUCGGUCGCGUUCUUUGUCAAUUUUAAAAACAGCAGUGCUAGUUGCGUAGUUGUGUGAAAUUUUCUUUCUCGUUCCACCUUAACGCUGUGGACUUGUGUGAACGUGUUCAGUGUGCGAGAGUCUUGCCUGUAGUUGACUGUUUGUCGUUUUCUUUUCUGAUUGCGUUUUUUUGUUCUUUUGGUUACUUUGGUGUUCGAAUGCUCUUACUUCCGCUGCCGGAAACCGCAUACUGUCAGCAACGCCAGCUAGUCCGACGCUGCCCUUUGAAUAAAAGUGAUUACAGCCGUUUUCGAAAAGGAAAAAGUUUAUCGAAACCACUUGGGCACACUUAUUAUACGCGGGGGGUCUGUUCUCUUCGUAGGCAGAACUCAACAGUGCAGCGAAAAGACUGUUCCAUGUCAUUUUAUACGCGCCCAUCCUUCAUGUCCAUUAUUUAAUGUUCUUAAUGUCGCUUUACAGCAUCAUUGUCAUGCCGAUCUUGUCGAUUCAUGAAGCACUGCCAAAAUACACAGCCGAUUCCCCAAGGAGCGCGCGUUUCAGGACAGUGCAGCGCAGGUAUUUUCACCAGCAUGCAAAAGCAUUCAAUCCAAUCCAGGCGUCGCUGGCGUACGAUGCGUGGUAUUCCAUGCGUGAUUGGUCAGUGCGCAGAAUACGUUGGCCCUAGUUCACGGCAUGCACUGUAGGUAUGUACUCGGAUCAGCUGGAAAAAAGUGUCGCGUGA